This 452-nucleotide ribosomal RNA is filed under the name uncultured bacterium. Its description in RNAcentral is "bacterial SSU rRNA". It matches the Rfam family "Bacterial small subunit ribosomal RNA", at positions 337 to 794 of the family's 1533-position model. The record is from RNAcentral.
CCCUACGGGGCGCAGCAGUGGGGAAUUUUGCGCAAUGGGCGAAAGCCUGACGCAGCAACGCCGCGUGGAGGAUGAAGGUCUUCGGAUCGUAAACUCCUGUCGAUGGGGACGAAAGCCCGCAAGGGUUUGACUGUACCCGUUGAGGAAGCCACGGCUAACUCCGUGCCAGCAGCCGCGGUAAUACGGAGGUGGCAAGCGUUGUUCGGAAUUACUGGGCGUAAAGGGCGCGUAGGCGGUUUGGCAAGUCAGAUGUGAAAGCCCCGAGCUUAACUCGGGAAUUGCAUCUGAAACUGCUCAACUUGAGUCCUGGAUGGGGUAGUGGAAUUCCCAGUGUAGCGGUGAAAUGCGUAGAUAUUGGGAGGAACACCUGCGGCGAAGGCGGCUACCUGGACAGUGACUGACGCUGAGGCGCGAAAGCUAGGGGAGCGAACGGGAUUAGAUACCCCGGUAGC